UAAUUCCUGGUUUUGCUAUGUGAUUUAUUUUGCCUUGAGUGGAAAGUAUUCAAAGCAGAGUUGUGCUGCUGAGAUGCUUCACCAGAGACAGCCCUGCGGAAGGGGGCAGAGCAUCGGUUCCAAGCUUGUACCAGAGCUGCAUCCUCCUACUACAGGUCUUUCACCUCAAAAGAAGAGGAUCUAACCAGCAAGAUGAUUUCAGGUACAGUAACAGUGUCCAGAACCUCCCAAUGCUGCGGGGCAGAGGCUGCAUCCCCACUGCUGCCACUCCAUUGCAGCGUCAUGGGGCUGGGACCCAGCAUGAAGCCCCCCGGAGAGCUGGUGAUGAGCACCAGUGCUCGCAGCCACGAUGCCCAUCAGUGCAGGAAACCCCCCAGUACUCUGCCCUGCUUUGGGAUCUACAGCAAGGAGGAGGAUGGGGUGGUCCUUAAAACCUCAUCAAGGAAAGACCCAAUCGUCCUCAGGGAAGUGGUGUGGACUUCAGUUUGCUCCUGUUCUCCCCAUAGUAGGUGCUUGGAGAUGGGAAUGGAUCCCCCAGUCCUGUCAGGGUCCCUCUGUUGAGGAUGGAGCAGCUUCAGUGAAGAGCCAGGGAUGGGGAAGGCACCGCUCACUUGUUCCACUGCUGGAAAAAGGUAAGAGAAGCUCAGCUGACCAAAAGGGUUGCUUUGCCAGUGCCUCUUGGAAUAUCGAGACAUCGUGGAUAACAGAGUGAGCUCCUGGAUAACAUCACCAUUUGGAAAGUCACUGAACGCUAAGAUUCAGCUCCCAGUUCACCACCACCAACCCCAACGUGCAAGAGCCCCUCGAGGGCUGGGGCGUUUUGAAACGGGUUUGGGCUGUGUUUCAGUUCCUGCAACGCGCAGGCAGAGGGCGCCUGCGGAGCGGAGCAGAGGCAGCUCCGCAUCCUUCUCCUGCGAGCUGGACGCUGUGAGGACCCCAGGACACGCAGAAUCCAUCCGGCUUUACUGGUCCAGCUGUUCUGGUUGGAGGAACGGCGCCGAGAUGCAGCAGAGCCCCAGGUUGCGUACGUUGGCUGGGUAUGUGAUGUGGUCCAUGGUGUGGGGCUCAUCCUCGGCAUCCCCAGGCACAGAAGUUGCAGGGGUGUCUUGACAGCAACAGAAGCAAGACACAUCUCUGUCUCUGUGCCUCAGUUUCUGUGCCACGAAAGGAAUAGUCCAGCUGCUUUUUGUCACAAAACAUCAGUAAAAGAGGGUGAUAAAUGGGCUUGGUUGUAAGCUGUAGCUGUAAUGGAGAGAUCUGCUUGCCUGAUGGAACAUCAAACCACAGAAAGAGGGGAGAUCUAAGAUGAAAUAUUAGGAAGAAGUUCAUAGACUGGAUUGUGUUGGAAGGGACCUUAAAGCUCAUCUGCAGCCAUGGCAGGGACCCCUUCCACUAGAGCAGGAUGCUCCAAGCCCCUGUGUCCUUGAGCACUGCCAGGGAUGGGGCAGCCACAGCUUCUCUGGGCCUUCUCCCUGUCCCUGCUGCUCACAUGCUGGUGAUGCAGCCCCCGCACAUGGGUGGUUCCUGGGCUGCAAGUGCACAAAAUGAGGUCACCCUCCUCUUCUGCAGCACCAGCUCUGCUUGAGUCAUGUCCAGGCACCCAAAGGAGCCUCUGCUAAUCGCCCUAAGAACAGCAGCUGGGAUUAGGUGCUAUUCCUAGAGGGACACAGCUAAAAGGGGCCGCAGGCAACGGAGCCAGCGCACCCUCGCUGGCACAUCCCUAUUUAUAGACGACUGGAUGAAGGAGUAAGUCCUGCCUUUCACUUCCAAUUAACAACUCCCCUUUUCUUCAUGGAGUAACUUCCACGUUCGUUGUCCUUUAAGCACUUUGAUUAUCAGCUGAAAUCCCAGUUUACGUUGCAUUUUGCUGACCAGAAUCCUCUGGUUCCUCUUUCUACAGAGUGCUCAGAGGCCAGGAAGGUUUUUUGCCUGUCCAAAUCCAGUGUGUGUGGUUUAGAGGAGGCAGGAUUUCUGUAGGAAAACUCCAAUUCCAGGCAUCAGAUUUUACUUCUCCUCUUCAAACUGACCGACACCUCAUUUAAGGAGGUAGUGGGGGGACUCACAGCCAAAGGUACUGCUUUACAUGCAUAAUAAUUGCAAACUAAGUUAAACCCCAGUAUUUAAUUGCAUCCUAUUGUUUAGAUCGUAAAUGGUUUAGUGUCUGGAAAGUACCAUUUUGUUCUCUGUCUGUUUGCUUUGGAAAUGCUUUUGUAACCAUGUCAGUGAUGGUUUUUUUUCAGCUAAAUAAGCCCAGAGUGUUGUCUCCUCCUUAAAUACAUCUUUGUCCUUAAAGGAAUACUGCCUUCCUGCAAACUUCCUACAAGGAAAAGCCUUUCCACCCAAGAAAUACCUUGAAUUUCCCCGUUACACCCCCUCCAUGUGUGUGUCGUGGGAUCCAGGGACCACAUCAACCAGUGACUUGAGUGAGUCCAGCUCUGGAAAUGGGUUGAGAAUGAACCAUUUGCUCCUAGCAAUGGGCACCUUCAGGUCAGCACCAACAAACUCCCCUUCCUCUUGUGUCAGGAAAAGGGCAGGAACAUCUCUAAGUAUAGAGGAGGGGGGAAAACCAGCUCACUGCAGGCAGAAGGGAGCUGAAAUCCAUGCAGACGCUGACAAAUAAGAGGAGUUGCCUGGAAACAGUUGUGUCCUGUGAUGAGUUUCCUCCUCUGGUUUUCAUUAGUACAGAACCACUUCUUUACGUGUCCCUCUCCUGGGUGCAAGAACAGCAUCCCAGGCCCUGGGCUGGUUUCUUAUGGCUUGAGAGAAUCCUGACCCUUUCCCUGUGCCUCAGGUCUUACUCUAAAGCAAUGCUGGUGGCUGAAACAUCUUGUGCCACAGCAUCCAGGGCUCCUGCUCUUGGCAAAGGAAUAAGGUUUGGAUGAGUUUCCAUCUUUGAAGCCAAAAAUGAGUUGGCUUUCCUAUUAGCUUUGUUUGUCAACUGCCAUUUAACCCUCUGCUUUUCUCCUUGGGCUGCAGAAAGAACUCAUCACACCACGAGUAAGCAUGUCUGUCGUUCCUACUUCAUUAUCUGUCAUGAGUAAAUCUAGGUACCUCCAUUUAAGUGCCUUGGGAACAAUGUCUGCAUCCAUUCAGCUGCCCUGCAGUAAGUCUGGUGGGUUCCUGCUGGAACACAAGCACACUUCAGUAGGGGCAAUGCUUUACUUCACCUCAUUCUUUUGUCAUAAUCUGAUUGUGUUUCCCUUUCAACAAUAACAAGGGGUGAAAAAAGGGGGGGAAUAAACAAGUAAAGGUG
Pezoporus flaviventris is the source of this 3253-nucleotide long non-coding RNA. RefSeq lists it as uncharacterized. The transcript has 2 exons. The record is from RefSeq and is a predicted model, not a curated record. NCBI's taxonomy places the organism in Eukaryota, Metazoa, Chordata, Aves, Psittaciformes, Psittacidae.